Molecule: ribosomal RNA, 253 nt
Filed under: uncultured bacterium
Lineage: Bacteria
Description: partial 16S ribosomal RNA
Rfam family: Bacterial small subunit ribosomal RNA
Source: RNAcentral
UACCGAGGUCUCAAGCGUUGUUCGGAUUCAUUGGGCGUAAAGGGUGCGUUGGCGGCGCGGUAAGUCGGGUGUGAAAUCUCGGGGCUUAACUCCGAAACUGCAUUCGAUACUGCCGUGCUUGAGGACUGGAAAGGAGACUGGAAUUUACGGUGUAGCGGUGAAAUGCGUAGAUAUCGUAAGGAAGACCAGUGGCGAAGGCGGGUCUCUGGACAGUUCCUGACGCUGAGGCACGAAGGUCAGGGGAGCAAACGGG